This 1248-nucleotide ribosomal RNA is filed under the name metagenome. Its description in RNAcentral is "SSU rRNA". It matches the Rfam family "Eukaryotic small subunit ribosomal RNA", at positions 542 to 1783 of the family's 1831-position model. The record is from RNAcentral.
UAUCCAUUGGAGGGCAAGUCUGGUGCCAGCAGCUGCGGUAAUACCAGCUCCAAUAGCGUAUAUUAAAGUUGUUGCAGUUAAAAAGCUCGUAGUUGGACUUGUGUGCGCUGUCCGCGGGUGGCCUGCGCCCAAAAGGGCGUUUCGGUUCGGCCCCGGUGGCGCCUUGAAAUCUGCAGCUGGGGGGACGUUGGCCUUAACUGGUCGGCGACCGCACGCCGGCUGCUCGGUUACUGUGAGAAAAUUAGAGUGUUCAAGGCAGGCAUUGGGUGCAAUUGAAUACAUUAGCAUGGAAUAAUAAAAUAUGGCUCCUGCCGUAUUUUGUUGGUUUUGACUGGUGGGAGUAAUGAUUGAUAGGGACGGUUGGGGGUGCUAGUAUUGAGCGGCCAGAGGUGAAAUUCAUGGAUUCGCUCAAGGCUAACUUAUGCGAAAGCAUUCACCAAGGACGUCCUCUUUAAUCAAGAACGAAAGUUGGGGGAUCGAAGACGAUCAGAUACCGUCGUAGUCUCAACCAUAAACUAUGUCGACUUGGGAUCGGCGGUAGUUUUUUCAUUAAGACACUGUCGGGACCACGGGAGAAAUCAAAGUGUCUGGACUCUGGGGGAAGUAUGGUCGCAAGGCUGAAACUUGAAGGAAUUGACGGAAGGGCACCACCAGGAGUGGAGCCUGCGGCUUAAUUUGACCCAACACGGGGAAACUUACCAGGUCCAGAGAUGUAGAGGAUUGACAGAUUGAAGCUCUUUCUUGAUCACUUCGGUGGUGGUGCAUGGCCGUUCUUAGUUGGUGGAGUGAUUUGUCUGGUUAAUUCCGUUAACGAACGAGACCUCAGCCUGCUAGUGUAGUCGGCUGGAUUGCCUUUGGCGAUCCGUGAUUUCGACUUCUUAGAGGGACAAUCGACGCGCAGUCGAUGGAAGUUUGAGGCAAUAACAGGUCUGUGAUGCCCUUAGAUGUUCUGGGCCGCACGCGCGCUACACUGCUGGGCUCAGCGAGUUUUACUUGGCCGAGAGGCCCGGUUAAUCUUGUGAAAUCCCAGCGUGCUUGGGCUCGCCUCCUGCAACUGGAGGCGCCAACGAGGAAUUCCUAGUAGACGCAGGUCAUCAACCUGCAUCGAUUACGUCCCUGCCCUUUGUACACACCGCCCGUCGUUCCAUAAGAGUGAGGCAUCCGGUGAAUUCUCGGGAGAGCCUGGGCGUGGCCAGCAAUGGUCUGCUCGGGUUUGAACUUGCAUAAACUUGGUGCCUAUGAUUAGGG